Molecule: ribosomal RNA, 919 nt
Filed under: uncultured Chloroflexota bacterium
Lineage: Bacteria; Bacillati; Chloroflexota
Description: bacterial SSU rRNA
Rfam family: Bacterial small subunit ribosomal RNA
Source: RNAcentral
UAGAGUUUGAUCAUGGCUCAGGACUAACGCUGGCGGUAGCCUUAGACAUGCAAGUCGAACGAGUUUCCGGGCUUGCUCGGAAAUUAGUGGCGAACGGCUGAGUAACGCGUAGGUGACCUACCCCGUAGUGUGGAAUAACUGCCCGAAAGGGUAGCUAAUACCGCAUGUUGAGCCGACAUCAAUGUCGUCUCCAAAGCAGAAAUGCGCUAUGGGCGGGGCCUGCGUUCGAUUAGCUAGUUGGUGGGGUAAUGGCUCACCAAGGCGACGAUCGAUAGGUGGUCUGAGAGGACGAUCACCCAGACUGGGACUGAGACACGGCCCAGACUCCUACGGGAGGCAGCAGUCGGGAAUUUUGCGCAAUGGGGGAAACCCUGACGCAGCAAUACCGCGUGUGGGAUGAAGGCCUUCGGGUCGUAAACCACUUUUUUCGGGGACGAUAAUGACGGUACCCGAAGAAUAAGCCACGGCUAACUACGUGCCAGCAGCCGCGGUAAUACGUAGGUGGCAAGCGUUGUCCGGAUUUACUGGGCGUAAAGCGCGCGCAGGCGGUGAAUGAAGUCGAAAGUGAAAGCCCCGGGCUCAACUCGGGAACUGCUUUCGAAACCAGUUCACUUGAAGGCGGAAGAGGGAAGUGGAAUUCCGAGUGUAGUGGUGGAAUGCGUAGAUAUUCGGAAGAACACCAGAGGCGAAGGCGACUUCCUGGUCCGAUCUUGACGCUGAGGCGCGAAAGCUAGGGGAGCAAACGGAAUUAGAUACCCCGGUAGUCCUAGCUGUAAACGAUGGAUACUAGGUGUUGGAGGUUUUAACCCCUCCGGUGCCGCAGCUAACGCAUUAAGUAUCCCGCCUGGGGAGUACGGCCGCAAGGCUAAAACUCAAAGGAAUUGACGGGGGGCCCCCGCACAAGCAGCGGAGCGUGGGG